This 334-nucleotide long non-coding RNA is filed under the name Olea europaea subsp. europaea. Lineage: Eukaryota; Viridiplantae; Streptophyta; Magnoliopsida; Lamiales; Oleaceae. The record is from RNAcentral.
ACAAAAAACAAAAGGCAUCAAGUUCUCAUUGAUCGAGCUCAGAACAUGCAUUGUACGCGUCUGUACAAUGUUAAUAGCUCACAAAACCACAAUCCCAAACUACAACACAGAGGCAGUAACUCAAUGGAUCGUAUCUUUCCCAAAACACCAACACAAACCCUUUCAAACUAAAACUGAAGAAUCACCAAGAUUCAACACACUCAAAUUCACCAGAAAACCAGAGGUUUACAGUCUAAAGAACAAGAAACACGAGGAAGAAUAAGAAAGGGCAGAGACACCAAGUCUCGAAGGAGAGAAGAGAAACCCUAGAAGGUUCUACACUGGAAGGACACCA